CUCGGCCCCCGCCCGGCUGUGCGCUCCUCUGAGCUCCCCUCUCUCCCCAGCCAGGAUUUUCUCCCCCUCGCCUCCCUUCCCCUCGCCUCCCCUCCCCUCCCUUCCCCUCCCCUCCCCGCGCCCGCGCGCGCUCUCUCUCUCUCCCAGAGUUCAUUCACAUUAUUGGAGUGAAGGAAGCCGAGGGAAGUGUUCCCCAGGAGGACCGAAGGGAAAGCGCGUCUCCAGCCACCUCUCUUACCCGCCCAGGACAUCCAGCCUCCCCUCCGACGGCCCUGCGGAUUCUUUAAUUUGUGGAGGAGGGCGUGGGUGGGUGUGUCCCUCCUUUCCCCUCUGUGCCUGUUCACCUGGUGAUGAAGAACCUUGGUAGACCAGCUCUCACUCCUCCACU
Molecule: long non-coding RNA, 388 nt
Filed under: Homo sapiens (human)
Lineage: Eukaryota; Metazoa; Chordata; Mammalia; Primates; Hominidae
Description: HSALNT0244117
Source: RNAcentral